Small nuclear RNA from Balaenoptera musculus (blue whale), 107 nucleotides. NCBI's taxonomy places the organism in Eukaryota, Metazoa, Chordata, Mammalia, Artiodactyla, Balaenopteridae. The record is from Ensembl.
UUGCUCAUUUCGGCAGCACAUAUACUAAAAUUGGAAUGAUACAGAGAAGAUUAGCAUGGCCUCUGUGCAAGGAAGACAUGCAAAUUAAUGGAACAUUCCAUAUUUUU